GUGAGCAGAGCACUGGGAGAGGUGUGGGGAAGGAGUGGAGCGGGACAGAGGGAUUCAGUGGGACUGCAGCCUCUAAACGGGAACCACAACUGCGAACAUGGGACAGCCUUAGAGAAUCUUUCCCCUUAUCUGGCCCUGGACAAACUCUUGUGAUGCUGUUUACUUAUCUCUCUCUCCCAUUAGAUCACAAGUUUAAUAGGGUCAGACAUCUCAUCCUGCUGUCCCCACGUCCAGUGCUGCCACAUGAUAGACGCUCUAUAAGUCGUUGUCAAAGGAAUGGAUACAUGGAUGGAUGCAUGUAUGCAUGAUUGAAUAGAUACAUGGAUGGAUAGGUGCAUGGAUGGAUAGGUGCAUGGAUGGUUGGAUAGAUGCAUGGAUGGAUAGGUGCAUGGAUGGAUGGAUAGAUGCAUGGAUGGAUAGGUGCAUGGAUGGAUGGAUGGGUAGAUAGCUAUAGAUUUAACUGUGUCACUCGUACUUUAGCACUCCUCAGUAUUGCCAAUAACUAUCAAAAUUCAGUGUGCACAAUUCGUUUUAAAGUAAAUUACACAAUAGUAAUACUGACACAUGUACAAAGAUACAUGUGCAAGAUGGCCCCUGCACUGUUGUGUAUUAUACAAAAAUAUUGGAGCAGCCUGAUGUCUGGCAGUAGGAAGAGGGAGGCCUUGAGGGCAAGGACUGUGUUUUGUUCGCUGCUCAAUCCUUAGCACCUGGACUGUGCCUGGUACAUAAUAGAGGUCAAUAAAUGUUUGUCGCAUGAAGGAAAGCGUCAUCACUGAGAUGCCAUGCAGCUGUUGAGAAGGAUGCUGGAGAUGUGUGUGUGCUAAGGUGAGAGAUGUCCACCCUAUCGUGGCAAAGCAAGUCAUAGAACAGUGUGUAAGGGAAGAGCUGACUUUUGUGAAAAAAAAAAUAGAUGUUUUUAUAUAUACAUAGGAUCUUGAGGGGCCGGCCCCGUGGCGCAGCGGUUGGGUUCCCACAUUCUGCUUCUCGGCUGCAUGGGGUUUGCCGGUUUGGCUCCCAGGUGUGGACAUGGCACCACUUGGCACACCAUACUGUGGUAGGCGUCCCACGUAUAAAGUAGAGGAAGAUGGGCACGGAUGUGAGCUCAGGGCCAGUCUUCCUCAGCAAAAAGAGGAGGAUUGGCAGCAGAUGUUAGCUCAAGGCUAAUCUUCCUCAAAAAAAAAAACAAAAGAAGAAGAAGAAGAAUCUUGAGGGAUACACCCUAAACUGUUACCAGGGGGUUCCAUCUGAGGAGAAGGUUUGGAGG
Molecule: long non-coding RNA, 1264 nt
Filed under: Equus caballus (horse)
Lineage: Eukaryota; Metazoa; Chordata; Mammalia; Perissodactyla; Equidae
Description: lncRNA (ENSECAG00000055153.1)
Source: RNAcentral